CCGCGUAGCUCAGUUGGAAGAGCAUUGGGCUAGUAUUCCGAAGGUCGUAGGUUCGAAUCCCACCGUGG
Non-coding RNA from Paramuricea clavata, 68 nucleotides. The record is from the annotation of a GenBank genome assembly. NCBI's taxonomy places the organism in Eukaryota, Metazoa, Cnidaria, Anthozoa, Malacalcyonacea, Plexauridae.